Molecule: long non-coding RNA, 865 nt
Organism: Neogale vison (American mink)
Lineage: Eukaryota; Metazoa; Chordata; Mammalia; Carnivora; Mustelidae
Exons: 4
Source: RefSeq, a predicted model, not a curated record
CACGCGGGCCAUAACGUAGGCGGGUUUUACUGGACCCAUCAGACAACCUGUGCAAGACGUGAGGACGAGCGAAAUGCGCCGCCUGGAGUGAAGGUGGCGCUUCGAGUCUCAGGGGACGUGGCCUGCUGGGCAGCAUCCAAAGCGUCUGGCCUCCGUCUCUUCAGUGCAGAUGGAAGUUCAGCACGUCCAGGAGUGUGACCGCUGCCAUCUCCCUGGUGUACGUGCAUCGCAGUGAACCUAAAUUGGCAAUCGGUCAAGAAGAAACAAAUGUUUGCAUUCACUCAGUGACGAGUAUCCUGUGUAAGCUCACCAUCUGUCGGAGCCACACAUGGACACGCAGAGUCCCAGGCUGGCAGGAGAAGUGGUCGUGGUCGCUGGGACAGCCCUCCAAAAUGGGUGAGGUGACCUUUCAGACUCUGGGGAGGUGAAGGGUUCCUCACAUCACAGCAGCACGCGGGCCAUAACGUAGGCGGGUUUUACUGGACCCAUCAGACAACCUGUGCAAGACGUGAGGACGAGUGAAAUGCGCCGCCUGGAAUGGAGGUUGUGUUGGCUUCUGGGGCUUCUGUCCCCAGGAGAUAUUCAGGCCAGUGGGGUGGGGGCUAAGGGGCAGGUUAUUUGGGGCAGAUGUGCCUUGCUUCCGAGGAGACCCUGUGUUUGAGCAGGAAGGCGGGGGCUGCAGUUGGAUCUGGCACCUGGGCCCACGUUGGUCCCCACGGUGGUUGGGUUGAGGGGAGCACAGGGCUGGCCGGCUGGAGUCUGCAGCCCCUCAACUGCCUUUUGACAGCCUGUACCCAGGACCCGGGGCACCUGGGCACAGCCAGAGUCCCAGGGCCCAGGCAGAUGCUUAUAGGAAAGGACUGGA